AUUCCACAAAGAAUUAUCACAGGUUAUAGGAUGGUAAUUGAUUUCCGCAAAUUAAAUAAGGCUACUAAGAAAGAUCAUUACCCCUUACCUUUUAUUAAUCAAAUGCUAGAAAGACUAUGCAAACAUACACAUUAUUGCUUUCUAGAUGGUUACUCUGGUUUUUCUCAAAUACCUGUGUCGGCUAAAGAUCAAUCAAAGACUACUUUUACAUGCCCUUUUGGUACUUUUGCUUAUAGACUUAUGCCUUUUGGUUUAUGUAAUGCACCUGCUACCUUUCAAAGAUGCAUGAUGGCUAUAUUCUCUGACUUUUGUGAGAAAAUUUGCGAGGUUUUCAUGGAUGACUUUUCUGUCUAUGGUUCCUCUUUUGAUGAUUGCUUGAGCAAUCUUGCUCGAGUUUUGCAGAGAUGUGAAGAAACUAAUCUUGUCUUGAAUUGGGAAAAGUGCCACUUUAUGGUUAAUGAAGGUAUUGUCUUGGGGCACAAAGUUUCUGAACGAGGUAUUGAAGUUGAUAAAGCCAAGGUUGAUGCUAUUGAAAAGAUGCCAUGUCCCAAGGACAUGAAAGGUAUAAGAAGUUUCCUUGGUCAUGCCAGAUUUUAUAGGAGGUUCAUCAAGGACUUCUCAAAAAUCUCUCGGCCUCUGACCAAUUUAUUACAAAAAGAUGUACCAUUUGUCUUUGAUGAUGAUUGUGUACAAGCAUUUGAAAUACUUAAGAAAGCAUUAGUCUCUGCACCUGUUGUUCAGCCACCUGAUUGGAAUUUACCCUUUGAAAUUAUGUGUGAUGCUAGUGAUUAUGCUGUAGGUGUUGUUCUA
RNAcentral lists this ribosomal RNA (810 nucleotides) under Triticum aestivum (bread wheat). RNAcentral describes it as "partial small subunit ribosomal RNA". Lineage: Eukaryota; Viridiplantae; Streptophyta; Magnoliopsida; Poales; Poaceae. The record is from RNAcentral.